RNAcentral lists this ribosomal RNA (452 nucleotides) under uncultured bacterium. RNAcentral describes it as "bacterial SSU rRNA". It matches the Rfam family "Bacterial small subunit ribosomal RNA", at positions 340 to 785 of the family's 1533-position model. The record is from RNAcentral.
UACGGAAGGCAGCAGUGGGGAAUAUUGCACAAUGGGCGAAAGCCUGAUGCAGCUAUGCCGCGUGUAUGAAGAAGGCCUUCGGGUUGUAAAGUACUUUCAGUCGUGAGGAAGGUGUUAAGGUUAAUAACCUUAGCAAUUGACGUUAGCGACAGAAGAAGCACCGGCUAACUCCGUGCCAGCAGCCGCGGUAAUACGGAGGGUGCGAGCGUUAAUCGGAAUUACUGGGCGUAAAGGGCACGCAGGCGGUUAAUUAAGUUGGAUGUGAAAUCCCCGGGCUUAACCUGGGAAUGGCAUUCAAGACUGGUUAGCUAGAGUCUUGUAGAGGGGGUAGAAUUCCAUGUGUAGCGGUGAAAUGCGUAGAGAUGUGGAGGAAUACCGGUGGCGAAGGCGGCCCCUGGACAAAGACUGACGCUCAUGUGCGAAAGCGUGGGGAGCAAACAGGGAUUAGAUAC